AGUGAACGCUGGCGGUAGGCCUAACACAUGCAAGUCGAACGGCAGCACAGUAAGAGCUUGCUCUUACGGGUGGCGAGUGGCGGACGGGUGAGGAAUACAUCGGAAUCUACUUUUUCGUGGGGGAUAACGUAGGGAAACUUACGCUAAUACCGCAUACGACCUACGGGUGAAAGCAGGGGAUCUUCGGACCUUGCGCGAUUGAAUGAGCCGAUGUCGGAUUAGCUAGUUGGCGGGGUAAAGGCCCACCAAGGCGACGAUCCGUAGCUGGUCUGAGAGGAUGAUCAGCCAUACUGGAACUGAGACACGGUCCAGACUCCUACGGGAGGCAGCAGUGGGGAAUAUUGGACAAUGGGCGCAAGCCUGAUCCAGCCAUACCGCGUGGGUGAAGAAGGCCUUCGGGUUGUAAAGCCCUCUUGUUGGGAAAGAAAAGCAGCAGGUUAAUACCCCGCUGUUCUGACGGUACCCAAAGAAUAAGCACCGGCUAACUUCG
RNAcentral lists this ribosomal RNA (490 nucleotides) under uncultured bacterium. RNAcentral describes it as "partial 16S ribosomal RNA". It matches the Rfam family "Bacterial small subunit ribosomal RNA", at positions 29 to 505 of the family's 1533-position model. The record is from RNAcentral.